Molecule: ribosomal RNA, 465 nt
Filed under: Vreelandella stevensii
Lineage: Bacteria; Pseudomonadati; Pseudomonadota; Gammaproteobacteria; Oceanospirillales; Halomonadaceae
Description: partial 16S ribosomal RNA
Rfam family: Bacterial small subunit ribosomal RNA
Source: RNAcentral
CCUACGGGGGGCUGCAGUGGGGAAUAUUGGACAAUGGGCGAAAGCCUGAUCCAGCCAUGCCGCGUGUGUGAAGAAGGCCUUCGGGUUGUAAAGCACUUUCAGUGGGGAAGAAAGCCUUGGGGCUAAUACCCUCGAGGAAGGACAUCACCCACAGAAGAAGCACCGGCUAACUCCGUGCCAGCAGCCGCUGUAAUACGGAGGGUGCGAGCGUUAAUCGGAAUUACUGGGCGUAAAGCGCGCGUAGGCGGUCUGAUAAGCCGGUUGUGAAAGCCCCGGGCUCAACCUGGGAACGGCAUCCGGAACUGUCAGGCUAGAGUGCAGGAGAGGAAGGUAGAAUUCCCGGUGUAGCGGUGAAAUGCGUAGAGAUCGGGAGGAAUACCAGUGGCGAAGGCGGCCUUCUGGACUGACACUGACGCUGAGGUGCGAAAGCGUGGGUAGCAAACAGGAUUAGAUACCCGAGUAGUC